This 953-nucleotide ribosomal RNA is filed under the name Nowamyces globulus. RNAcentral describes it as "partial 28S ribosomal RNA". It matches the Rfam family "Eukaryotic large subunit ribosomal RNA", at positions 68 to 1415 of the family's 3401-position model. Lineage: Eukaryota; Fungi; Ascomycota; Dothideomycetes; Capnodiales. The record is from RNAcentral.
ACAGGGAUUGCCCCAGUAACGGCGAGUGAAGCGGCAACAGCUCAAAUUUGAAAUCUGGCAUCCGCCCGAGUUGUAAUUUGGAGAGGAUGCUUCUGGGCAGCGGCCGGUCUAAGUUCCUUGGAACAGGACGUCACAGAGGGUGAGAAUCCCGUACGUGACCGGCGCGCACCCUCCACGUAGCUCCUUCGACGAGUCGAGUUGUUUGGGAAUGCAGCUCUAAAUGGGAGGUAAAUUUCUUCUAAAGCUAAAUACCGGCCAGAGACCGAUAGCGCACAAGUAGAGUGAUCGAAAGAUGAAAAGCACUUUGGAAAGAGAGUUAAAAAGCACGUGAAAUUGUUGAAAGGGAAGCGCUCCCAACCAGACCUGCCGGCGGCGUUCCGCCGGUCUUCUGACCGGUCUACUCGUCGUCCGCAGGCCAACAUCGUCUGGUGCCGCCGGAUAAGCCGUCGGGAAUGUAGCUCCUCGGAGUAUUAUAGCCCGUCGGGAUGCGGCGCGCGCCGGGCGAGGUCCGCGCUUCGGCAAGGAUGUUGGCGUAAUGGUUGGCAGCGGCCCGUCUUGAAACACGGACCAAGGAGUCUAACAUCUAUGCGAGUGUUCGGGUGUUAAACCCCUACGCGUAAUGAAAGUGAACGGAGGUGGGAACCGCAAGGUGCACCAUCGACCGAUCCUGAUGUCCUCGGAUGGAUUUGAGUAAGAGCAUAGCUGUUGGGACCCGAAAGAUGGUGAACUAUGCCUGAAUAGGGUGAAGCCAGAGGAAACUCUGGUGGAGGCUCGCAGCGGUUCUGACGUGCAAAUCGAUCGUCAAAUUUGGGUAUAGGGGCGAAAGACUAAUCGAACCAUCGACCGGGCAGGUCGAAUUGCUAGGUGGUUGAGAGGGCGGCGAGGCCCUAGUCGCCGGGCGGGACCCGGCGGCGACACUAUCAAAUUGCGGGGAGGCCCCGUGACGCCAUCCG